Molecule: long non-coding RNA, 836 nt
Organism: Ostrea edulis (European flat oyster)
Lineage: Eukaryota; Metazoa; Mollusca; Bivalvia; Ostreida; Ostreidae
Exons: 5
Source: RefSeq, a predicted model, not a curated record
CUUUAGGUCAUGAGGAAUAUUGUGUGUUGAAUGUACAACAUUGCUCGUACUACAAUAAAAAUAUUGGAUGGCACAGGCAGCGAAGGGUCCACAGGAUGACUGGUCUCUAGGAGAAAAUGAGCAGUGUAGACAUAUCAUAAACAUCAUAUUUACUGAUCUCCGAAAUUCAAUUCGACUUAGAGACGUAAAUGAGCUGAUACUCAAGCUAACAUCAAACAAUCUUCUAGAUAACGAGAAAUUUAAAUACAAAAAUGAAAAAACACGUGGAAUAAAAUUUCAAGGGCUGAUAUGUGCUGAUGAAAAUGGAAUUAAUCAGGAUUCAUGGAAGACCCGGGAUACAUUGAUGUUUUGGAUAAAAGAUAUUCGACGAAAUUUUUCAACAUAUUUGGAGGCAGAAAAAGAAUUUGUGUUGGAGCGUUUAAAACGAUCUACUCCAGUAUCAGAGGAGUGGUUGACGGAAAAUGUAACCUUGGAUACUACUAAUCCUUCCAUGGGAGAGUGUCUUUCACUUCAGUUUAAUGUUAAACACAUCAAGGAGAAGCUAGAAAAGGAGUUUUACACGGAAAACAGAGGAAGAUUUGAAAAAGAAUUUGGAUCAAUUGAAACAGAGGAAUGGAAUCCUGCUGUGUUUCAUCUUUCUGCCAACGCAUUUGAAACUACUAUUGGAAUCUUCCAUGAAAUGGAAGGUCGUGUGUUAGAGUCCAGGUUUUAUCCUCACACAUAUAAAGAAGGCCAUUCAAAACCAAUUGUGUAUUUCGCCAAGACAGGAGAUUCAUCUUAAUCCAGAGCUCAUCCUAAUGAGGAAAACAAAAUAGCCGAACGUGAUUUAGAUACGA